GGCAGGCAGGUUAGCAGUUAGGAGCCAGCGGUCCUGGAUUGCAAGGGGGAUGUCCGAAUGCUGGUUAGGCCUGUGGGAUCAGGCCUAAACCAGCAUUCGGACAUCCUACGAGGGGCACCAGAUUAGAGAGGGUGCAGUCUGGGCUGAGGGACACCCCAACCCCCACCCCCCGUGCAUGAAUUUCGUGCACCAGGCAUCCCAGUCCAGGGUUCCAGUGCCAGGAAGAGAAGUCACCAUAACUUCUGGCUGUAAAAACCAGCUGGUAUUGAGACUGAGUGAGACAAAGGGCUGCUGGAGUCCCAGGCAGUUCCUCUUAAAGGGCCCACAUAUGGACUUACUCAGACUUACACCCUCUGAGUUCCAGUGCUGGGGCAGCAGCUUGAAAGAGUUUGGUAACAUACAGGGGAUAAUUGAAUUGUCUGGCAUAAGGUGAGAACUGGAGGGGAAGCUUUCUCCCAGGUGGAAGUGCUGGAAGAGGCCAUUGUUUUCUUUCUGAGUCCUCCUCCACAGAGCUGGCAGGUGCCAAAUCUGAGUCUCCAUAAACAUAGUUUACCCUGUUCACCCUGUCCUGGUGAUUUCCUGAGACCUGCCCCAGUAACUUGUGGGCCCACCUAAUCUAUUUCCAGUGGUAUUUCCAUGUGAAUGGACUGUCUUGGUUUAUGCUUCAGACUUUCCUAAAAUCUCUCAAACAAGUAGCAUCUUGCCCUGUACCUCUCACCAAGUGGCCCCAGGCCCAGCACUAGUAGCAGCCAGCCUUAGUUAGCAGCCUGGCCUCUCCUGGACACCUCUAAGCCCAGCACAAGUAGCAGCCAUCUGCAGAUAGUUUUAUUUCAGAUCGUCCUGGGCAGAUAAUAGGCCAUGGCUGACCUUGGCUUGCACCUCUCAGGCAGCCCAGAGCUAGCACACCUGGUGGAUAGCUUCAGACCACAUCAAAACACCACCCAGCCACCUCUACAAGUGACAGACUCAAGGGCUGGACUCAGUGGGCAGCAGAACCUCUCUGAAUUAAGUCCUGCUCUGUGGGGUGGGCUCCUAUAAAGCUGAUUCUCCACUGUGGUUGCAGCCAGUCCUUGUAGCCAAUGGACUUUGGAGUACAUCACUCCCAUUGAUGUGCCAACAGUAAUCAAUGCCCAACUACAACAGAAGGGUGUACACAGAUCAUGUAGAGGGAGGUGCACCUGGAGACUCCAGCUUGGGUAAACAGGGAGGUUGUGUCCCUGGACCCUACACCUACUACAUAAGCCUGGGAGACAUAGCAUCUCUACUUAAUACAUAGAAACAAAUACAGGAAAGCUGCCAACAUGAGGAGACAAAGAAACAUGUCUCAAGUGAAAGAACAGGACAAAACUCCAGAAAAAUAACUAAACAAAAUGGAGACAAGCAAUCAACUAGAUGCAGAGUUCCAAACACCGUGUAAGGAUGCUCAAUGAACUCAGGGGAAGAGUAGAUGAACUUAGAGAGAAAACUUCAACAGCAUAAAAAACAACAACAUGGAUACUAUAAGCCAGUCAGAAAUGAAGGACAUAAUAACUAAUAUGAAGAAUAAUUUACAGGGAAUCAACAGUUAAGUGGGUGAAGUCAAAAAUCAAAAUAGUUAUCUAUAAUAAUAAAAAGCAUUAUAUGCUAAUUAGACUGGACAUCCUUCCAGAUGUCCUUCCAGACGAUCUUCUGGACGAAGCCAGGGCUGAGGAAAGCCCAGGUCCUGGGUGCCUGCUGGCAGCCAGGAGAAGGAAAGACUACUCUUGCGUGAAUUUCAUGCAUUGGGCCUCUAGUUUGGAAUAUAAGGAAGCAAAAAACACCCAAUCAAAACAGCAGAAAGAAAAAAGAACCCUGGCCCCCCUCCCAAAUGAGAAUAGUGUAAGGAGCUAUGGGACAACUUCAAGUGUACCAACAUUUGCAUCAUAGGGGUGCCAGAAGGAGGAAAAGAGAGCAAGAAAUUGAAAUCUAUUUUAAAAAAUAAUGAUGGAAAACUUCCCUAACCUGUCAUGCAGUUUUACCUGAGAUUUGUUGUUAAUGGCCGUUAGAAUACACUGGGCUUAAUUUAUGUCAGCUGGGACUCAGGGGGAGGGCAGAGCCACUCCCUGAGGGCGGGACCAGUCAAAGACUGGACGCCACUCAGUCUGACUCUCCCGCCCAGUGUUAAGGGGAUGGAUCUCAUGAUGUCAAAGGCCCACCCUGAUGUGAUGUAACUUCCUGUAAUUCAAGUAUAUAAUAAAUCAGCUUUCAGAGCUGGCUCUCUCUGUGUGUUCUGUCCCUCCAGAGGGCUGGUACCACACCCAGCCCACACUUUUAAUCUAUUUUAUGUCUGUCUUUCAUUAUUCUUUAAUCCCGAAAGCGCCUCCUACUUGCACGAACCGGUUCAAGUCUCCCCCUCCUUGUGGGACUCUGAGAGGAGACCUCAGCCCAAACACGCCCGUCAUAUUUGUUUGCAAUAAUAUAGGGAACACCUUGUUUCAAUGAGGAACUCUUUUCUCCUGUUAAUCUUUAGAUCUCAUCAAGAGACAUUUGGAGUCUUUAGUGAGACCUAGUCAAUCGUAAGUACUUUAUAGAGCACUGGUUCUAAUGCAUCAAGAAUCCCGAAAUAGCAAUGCAUUCUUUCAGCUUCCAACAGUCAUUAAUUGAGCCCCUAAUAUAUUUGAGACAUAGCCCUCUCCUUUCAGGUGUUUUCCUUUCCUUAAACAACAGAGAGCAAAAUUAUGAACUGCCAGUUAAAGGGCCUUUAUUUCUGGAACAAUCAGGUAUCACAGAAAACAGUAUUGUUGGGCCUUAUACCUUUUUCAUGUUUGGAGUUUUAUGACCAUUAUCUUUCCUCCUGCAAUCAAUAAAAAUGCACCUAAUAAUUACUAAGAACAAUUCCCCUCCCCCCAUUUUUCAAAGUGAAAAGGGUGAAGCAUAAUAAUGGCAAAUUUUAAAAUUAGAUUUUGGACUUUUCCUUUAUGAUAGUGACUGAUAACAUUUCUUAAGUUAUUUAUAAAUUAUUCCUCAUUAAUUCAUUAUUAUUCUCCAUGCUAAUACUUUUUGGGUGAGUGAGGAGAAGAAUCCAAAGCAAGAGCAAGCUCUCAUUUCUGUGUACAGAAGGAAAAGGAAGAAAUAACUUUUUGUUCAACCUUUUUCUUUCUUCCUUAGAAAGCAUUGACUAAAAAUCACAGGGUAGAAUGCGGAACCUGAAGGAAAUGAAAGUAGGAAUUUAGACUCCUGGGUGACUUGGGUUGUUUGCUUCUACUUUAUGGCGUGGACUUCAUUCAUUUUUGACAUCUAUUUGCACAUUCAUAGGCAGGGGAAAAGUGCCUGUUUCUUUAUAUUUGCCUUAAAGCUCAACACAGUGCCUAGCAAAUAAUAGAUCAUUAAUAAAAACUUGUUGAAUGAAUGAAUGCUCAUGUUAAUUUAUCCUUUUUUUUAUGUAUUAGGAAGAAAAAAGAACUAACUUAAAAUUUGCUCUUUUUUUUUUGGUAACACUACCAAGAAUCAAUACUUCUUCUUUAUACAUAAACUAGAGGCCCAAUGCAUGAAAUUUGUGCAAGAGUAGGCCUCCCUUCCCCCAGCUGCUGGCACCGGUUUCCUUCUAGCACCCGAGACCCGGGCUUCCCUCCAGCCACUGGCAGGCACCUGGGAUCUGGGCUUCUCUCCAGCUGCCGGCAGGCACCAGGGACCGGGGCUUCCCUCGCAGCCCUGGCUUCAUCCGGAAGGUUGUCUGGUCUGAUUAGCAUAUUAUGCUUUUAUUAUUAUAGAUAUAUUUCUUGGAGGAAUUGUGACUACAGUUUUAUAAGUAAAUACAUAAAAACGACUAUCCUUUUUUUUGACUUGAAAGUCAAAGAGAUUGAUAUGAGACAAACUGAUUUGGGUUUUUUUUUCCAAAUAGUUAUUAGGUGGUAGCUACUUCAAUGCCUGAAAUGCUUGACAAUGUUUUGAUUUUAUGAUGGAAGUCAAGUUCACUGACAGUCAUAUUAUAGGUUUUUCUCUGGGGCUGUUAUUUGUUACAGAGUUUUGAAAAUAUUAACUGGAAAAUUUCAAGAGGUGCCUCUUAAGAGCUGUAGAAAAGAAAUUUGAUCUCCCUGAAAUGCUAGAGUAUACUGUUCCAAAUGUUCUGCUGGUGAGAGUUGUGGGUUUUUAAAAUGAUAGUAGCAAGGACUAUUAAAAAAAAUAAAUGAUCUGUGCAAUGAUGUUCUGACCUUAGACUAGCUGCUAUGUUCUUUUUUUCUCUUCUGCUUAGAACCACAUGUUUUCUUAUUUAUUUAUUUAUUUAUUUAUUUAUUUAUUUAUUUAUUUAUUUAUUCUUUAUUGUUGAGAGUAUUACAGAUGUACCUGCCCCCCCAUUUUUUCCCCUCAUUGUCCUCCACCCCCUGCCAUCCCCAGGCCUUCACCACUCUAUUGUCUGUGUUCAUGGGUAAUGCAUAUAUGCAUAUAAGUUCUUUAGCUAAUCUCUUCUCACCUCCCUCCCUCAUUUCCAUUGAGAUUUCUCAGUCUGUUCCAUGUUUCCAUGCCACUGAUUCCAUUUUAUUUAUCAGUUUAUUUUAUUCAUUGGAUUCCUCAUUCAUUUAUUUUGAUUUUUAGAUUCAGUUGUUGAUAGGUAUGUAUUUAUUGCCAUUUUAUUGUUCAUAUUUCCUCCUCCUCCUCCUCCUCCUCCUCCUCCUCCUCCUCCUCCU
Long non-coding RNA from Myotis daubentonii (Daubenton's bat), 4643 nucleotides. RefSeq lists it as uncharacterized. The record is from RefSeq and is a predicted model, not a curated record. Lineage: Eukaryota; Metazoa; Chordata; Mammalia; Chiroptera; Vespertilionidae.